This 69-nucleotide transfer RNA is filed under the name Heterocephalus glaber (naked mole-rat). It matches the Rfam family "tRNA". Rfam says of the family: Transfer RNA (tRNA) molecules are approximately 80 nucleotides in length. Their secondary structure includes four short double-helical elements and three loops (D, anti-codon, and T loops). Lineage: Eukaryota; Metazoa; Chordata; Mammalia; Rodentia; Bathyergidae. The record is from Rfam by way of RNAcentral.
GGUAUAGUAGCUCAGUGGUAGAGCACUUGCCUAGCAUGUUCAAGUCCCUGAGUUCAAUUCUCAGCACUG